RNAcentral lists this ribosomal RNA (1146 nucleotides) under uncultured cyanobacterium. RNAcentral's name for it is "bacterial SSU rRNA". It matches the Rfam family "Bacterial small subunit ribosomal RNA", at positions 376 to 1533 of the family's 1533-position model. The record is from RNAcentral. Lineage: Bacteria; Bacillati; Cyanobacteriota.
CGAAAGCCUGACGGAGCAAUACCGCGUGAGGGAAGAAGGCUUUUGGGUUGUAAACCUCUUUUGUCAGGGAAGAAGAAUUGACGGUACCUGAAGAAAAAGCAUCGGCUAACUCCGUGCCAGCAGCCGCGGUAAUACGGAGGAUGCAAGCGUUAUCCGGAAUCAUUGGGCGUAAAGGGUCCGCAGGUGGCGAAUAAAGUCUGCUGUUAAAGACCGGGGCUUAACUCCGGAAAGGCAGUGGAAACUGAUUAGCUAGAGUACGGUAGGGGUAGAGGGAAUUCCCAGUGUAGCGGUGAAAUGCGUAGAUAUUGGGAAGAACACCGGUGGCGAAAGCGCUCUACUAGGCCGAAACUGACACUGAGGGACGAAAGCUAGGGUAGCGAAAGGGAUUAGAUACCCCUGUAGUCUUAGCGGUAAACGAUGGAUACUAGGUGUAGCUUGUAUCGACCCGAGCUGUGCCGAAGCUAACGCGAUAAGUAUCCCGCCUGGGGAGUACGCACGCAAGUGUGAAACUCAAAGGAAUUGACGGGGGCCCGCACAAGCGGUGGAGUAUGUGGUUUAAUUCGAUGCAACGCGAAGAACCUUACCAGGGCUUGACAUGUCGCGAAUCUAGCGGAAACGUUAGAGUGCCUUAGGGAAUGCGAACACAGGUGGUGCAUGGCUGUCGUCAGCUCGUGUCGUGAGAUGUUGGGUUAAGUCCCGCAACGAGCGCAACCCUCGUCCUUAGUUGCCAAUAUUAAGUUAGGCACUCUAGGGAGACUGCCGGGGACAACUCGGAGGAAGGUGGGGAUGACGUCAAGUCAGCAUGCCCCUUACGUCCUGGGCUACACACGUACUACAAUGGUUGGGACAAAGGGCAGCAAGCUCGCGAGAGUAAGCGAAUCUCAUCAAACCCAGCCACAGUUCAGAUUGCAGGCUGCAACUCGCCUGCACGAAGUAGGAAUCGCUAGUAAUCGCAGGUCAGCAUACUGCGGUGAAUUCGUUCCCGGGCCUUGUACACACCGCCCGUCACACCAUGGAAGCUGGCUACGCCCGAAGUCGUUACCCUAACCCGGUUUUGGGAGGGGGAUGCCGAAGGUAGAGCUAGUGACUGGGGUGAAGUCGUAACAAGGUAGCCGUACCGGAAGGUGUGGCUGGAUCACCUCCUUU